This 331-nucleotide ribosomal RNA is filed under the name uncultured bacterium. RNAcentral describes it as "bacterial SSU rRNA". It matches the Rfam family "Bacterial small subunit ribosomal RNA", at positions 568 to 898 of the family's 1533-position model. The record is from RNAcentral.
CGCGUAGGCGGCUUGCCAAGUCAGGGGUGAAAUCCUGCAGCUCAACUGUAGAAGUGCCUUUGAUACUGGCGAGCUCGAGGGAGGUAGGGGUGGGUGGAACUUCUGGUGGAGCGGUGAAAUGCGUUGAUAUCAGAAGGAACGCCGGUGGCGAAAGCGACCCACUGGAUCUCUACUGACGCUGAGGCGCGAAAGCUAGGGGAGCAAACGGGAUUAGAUACCCCGGUAGUCCUAGCCCUAAACGAUGAGCACUAGAUUGCAGACUGAUCAUGGGUUUGCAGUCGAAGCAAAAGUGUUAAGUGCUCCGCCUGGGGAGUAUGGUCGCAAGGCUGAA